CUUCACACAGAUCCUUGAUUUUGUCGCUGAGGAAGGCGGAGUCAGAAAGAGGAGCAUCAGCCGACACCCAGAUCAGAUCGUCCUCGAACUUUGCCGGCAUCACUUCAUCCUCCUUAAGAAUGAGAAAAAAGAAAUAGAUUCUCAGAAGAGGGGGAAACCGCACCUGACCUUCUUCGGCGGAUUGCAAGGGCGCAGACUCAUGCUGCAAUAACAGCGACACCUGUCGGCUUUUACUGCGGACUGACCUGACAAAUGCUGCUGUGAAAGGACUCAUCAUCCCCCUUUACAGAGGAGGAAGGAAACUUCAAAGCACGCGCUCACAACAACUGCAGGCGUACUUUAGUUUGCAGAGUUUUAGAAGUUAAAGAGGAGCCGCCAGCUAUCAAGCUUCUCUGCGAAAUCCUGCUCCCAGAUCAGGUUCAAGAGAACGACAGCUUCUGUCCCUUC
Molecule: long non-coding RNA, 447 nt
Organism: Oryzias melastigma (Indian medaka)
Lineage: Eukaryota; Metazoa; Chordata; Actinopteri; Beloniformes; Adrianichthyidae
Exons: 3
Source: RefSeq, a predicted model, not a curated record